This 457-nucleotide ribosomal RNA is filed under the name uncultured bacterium. Its description in RNAcentral is "partial 16S ribosomal RNA". It matches the Rfam family "Bacterial small subunit ribosomal RNA", at positions 355 to 802 of the family's 1533-position model. The record is from RNAcentral.
UGGGGAAUAUUGCACAAUGGGCGCAAGCCUGAUGCAGCCAUGCCGCGUGUGUGAAGAAGGCCUUCGGGUUGUAAAGCACUUUCAGCGAGGAGGAAGGUGGUGAACUUAAUACGUUCAUCAAUUGACGUUACUCGCAGAAGAAGCACCGGCUAACUCCGUGCCAGCAGCCGCGGUAAUACGGAGGGUGCAAGCGUUAAUCGGAAUUACUGGGCGUAAAGCGCACGCAGGCGGUUUGUUAAGUCAGAUGUGAAAUCCCCGGGCUCAACCUGGGAACUGCAUUUGAGACUGGCAAGCUAGAGUCUCGUAGAGGGGGGUAGAAUUCCAGGUGUAGCGGUGAAAUGCGUAGAGAUCUGGAGGAAUACCGGUGGCGAAAGGCGGCCCCCCUGGACGAAGACUGACGCUCAGGUGCGAAAAGCGUGGGGAGCAAACAGAUUAGAUACCCUGGUAGUCCACGCUG